This 84-nucleotide microRNA precursor is filed under the name Bombyx mori (domestic silkworm). RNAcentral's name for it is "mir-2807 microRNA precursor family". It matches the Rfam family "mir-2807 microRNA precursor family". Lineage: Eukaryota; Metazoa; Arthropoda; Insecta; Lepidoptera; Bombycidae. The record is from Rfam by way of RNAcentral.
UUAGCUCAUAUUUGUAUGGAAUGGGAUCGAUUGCCUACGUUUUCCGCUAGGGGCGCUGUUCCAACUGCAUACAAAAUUGGGCUA